GCUGGACGUGGUGGUGGACGUCUGUAAUCCCAGCUACUCUGGAGGCUGAGGCAGGAGAAUCACUUGGGCCCAGGAGGCGGAGGUUGCAGUGAGCAAAGAUCAUGCCACUGCACUCCAGCCUGGGCAACAAAGUGAGAUUCCAUCUCAA
Unclassified non-coding RNA from Papio anubis (olive baboon), 148 nucleotides. It matches the Rfam family "Metazoan signal recognition particle RNA". Rfam says of the family: The signal recognition particle (SRP) is a universally conserved ribonucleoprotein. It is involved in the co-translational targeting of proteins to membranes. NCBI's taxonomy places the organism in Eukaryota, Metazoa, Chordata, Mammalia, Primates, Cercopithecidae. The record is from Ensembl.